Molecule: ribosomal RNA, 433 nt
Filed under: uncultured bacterium
Lineage: Bacteria
Description: partial 16S ribosomal RNA
Rfam family: Bacterial small subunit ribosomal RNA
Source: RNAcentral
AACGAACGCUGGCGGCAUGCCUAACACAUGCAAGUCGAACGAGACCUUCGGGUCUAGUGGCGCACGGGUUCGUAACGCGUGGGAACCUGCCCUUAGGUUCGGAAUAACUCCCCGAAAGGGGUGCUAAUACCGGUUAAUGUCUUCGGACCAAAGAUUUAUCGCCUUUGGAUGGGCCCGCGUUGGAUUAGCUAGUUGGUAGGGUAAAAGCCUACCAAGGCGACGAUCCAUAGCUGGUCUGAGAGGAUGAUCAGCCACACUGGGACUGAGACACGGCCCAGACUCCUACGGGAGGCAGCAGUGGGGAAUAUUGGACAAUGGGCGAAAGCCUGAUCAAGCAAUGACGCGUGAGUGAUGAAGGCCUUAGGGUUGUAAAGCUCUUUUAACCGGGAUGAUAAUGACAGUACCGGGAGAAUAAGCUCCGGCUAACUCCGUG